This 1343-nucleotide ribosomal RNA is filed under the name uncultured bacterium. Its description in RNAcentral is "16S ribosomal RNA". It matches the Rfam family "Bacterial small subunit ribosomal RNA", at positions 28 to 1378 of the family's 1533-position model. The record is from RNAcentral.
GACGAACGCUGGCGGCGUGCUUAACACAUGCAAGUCGAACGGAAAGGCCCUGCUUUUGUGGGGUGCUCGAGUGGCGAACGGGUGAGUAACACGUGAGUAACCUGCCCUUGACUUUGGGAUAACUUCAGGAAACUGGGGCUAAUACCGGAUAGGAGCUCCUGCUGCAUGGUGGGGGUUGGAAAGUUUCGGCGGUUGGGGAUGGACUCGCGGCUUAUCAGCUUGUUGGUGGGGUAGUGGCUUACCAAGGCUUUGACGGGUAGCCGGCCUGAGAGGGUGACCGGCCACAUUGGGACUGAGAUACGGCCCAGACUCCUACGGGAGGCAGCAGUGGGGAAUAUUGCACAAUGGGCGGAAGCCUGAUGCAGCAACGCCGCGUGCGGGAUGACGGCCUUCGGGUUGUAAACCGCUUUCGCCUGUGACGAAGCGUGAGUGACGGUAAUGGGUAAAGAAGCACCGGCUAACUACGUGCCAGCAGCCGCGGUGAUACGUAGGGUGCGAGCGUUGUCCGGAUUUAUUGGGCGUAAAGGGCUCGCAGGUGGUUGAUCGCGUCGGAAGUGUAAUCUUGGGGCUUAACCCUGAGCGUGCUUUCGAUACGGGUUGACUUGAGGAAGGUAGGGGAGAAUGGAAUUCCUGGUGGAGCGGUGGAAUGCGCAGAUAUCAGGAGGAACACCAGUGGCGAAGGCGGUUCUCUGGGCCUUUCCUGACGCUGAGGAGCGAAAGCGUGGGGAGCGAACAGGCUUAGAUACCCUGGUAGUCCACGCUGUAAACGGUGGGUACUAGGUGUGGGGUCCAUUCCACGGGUUCCGUGCCGUAGCUAACGCUUUAAGUACCCCGCCUGGGGAGUACGGCCGCAAGGCUAAAACUCAAAGGAAUUGACGGGGCCCCGCACAAGCGGCGGAGCAUGCGGAUUAAUUCGAUGCAACGCGUAGAACCUUACCUGGGUUUGACAUGGAUCGGGAGUGCUCAGAGAUGGGUGUGCCUCUUUUGGGGUCGGUUCACAGGUGGUGCAUGGCUGUCGUCAGCUCGUGUCGUGAGAUGUUGGGUUAAGUCCCGCAACGAGCGCAACCCUUGUUCACUGUUGCCAGCACGUUAUGGUGGGGACUCAGUGGAGACCGCCGGGGUCAACUCGGAGGAAGGUGGGGAUGACGUCAAGUCAUCAUGCCCCUUAUGUCCAGGGCUUCACGCAUGCUACAAUGGCUGGUACAGAGAGUGGCGAGCCUGUGAGGGUGAGCGAAUCUCGGAAAGCCGGUCUCAGUUCGGAUUGGGGUCUGCAACUCGACCUCAUGAAGUCGGAGUCGCUAGCAAUCGCAGAUCAGCAACGCUGCGGUGAAUACGUUCCCGGG